AUUGAACGCUGGCGGCAUGCCUUACACAUGCAAGUCGAACGGUAACAGGUCUUCGGAUGCUGACGAGUGGCGAACGGGUGAGUAAUACAUCGGAACGUGCCCGAUCGUGGGGGAUAACGAGGCGAAAGCUUUGCUAAUACCUCAUACGAUCUACGGAUGAAAGCGGGGGAUCUUCGGACCUCGCGCGGACGGAGCGGCCGAUGGCAGAUUAGGUAGUUGGUGGGAUAAAAGCUUACCAAGCCGACGAUCUGUAGCUGUUCUGAGAGGAUGAUCAGCCACACUGGGACUGAGACACGGCCCAGACUCCUACGGGAGGCAGCAGUGGGGAAUUUUGGACAAUGGGCGAAAGCCUGAUCCAGCCAUGCCGCGUGCAGGAUGAAGGCCUUUGGGUUGUAAACUGCUUUUGUACGGAACGAAAAGCCUCUUUCUAAUAAAGAGGGGUCAUGACGGUACCGUAAGAAUAAGCACCGGCUAACUACGUG
This 482-nucleotide ribosomal RNA is filed under the name uncultured bacterium. Its description in RNAcentral is "partial 16S ribosomal RNA". It matches the Rfam family "Bacterial small subunit ribosomal RNA", at positions 30 to 507 of the family's 1533-position model. The record is from RNAcentral.